Molecule: transfer RNA, 77 nt
Filed under: Pseudomonadales bacterium
Lineage: Bacteria; Pseudomonadati; Pseudomonadota; Gammaproteobacteria; Pseudomonadales
Also listed under: 2 other names
Description: tRNA-Arg
Rfam family: tRNA
About the family: Transfer RNA (tRNA) molecules are approximately 80 nucleotides in length. Their secondary structure includes four short double-helical elements and three loops (D, anti-codon, and T loops).
Source: RNAcentral
GGGGCAUUAGCUCAGCUGGAUAGAGCAGCCGCCUUCUAAGCGGCAGGUCAGACGUUCGAAUCGUCUAUGCCCUACCA